Molecule: ribosomal RNA, 292 nt
Filed under: uncultured bacterium
Lineage: Bacteria
Description: partial 16S ribosomal RNA
Rfam family: Bacterial small subunit ribosomal RNA
Source: RNAcentral
GUGUCAGCCGCCGCGGUAAUACGUAGGUGGCAAGCGUUGUCCGGAAUUAUUGGGCGUAAAGCGCGCGCAGGCGGUUUCUUAAGUCUGAUGUGAAAGCCCCCGGCUCAACCGGGGAGGGUCAUUGGAAACUGGGAAACUUGAGUGCAGAAGAGGAGAGUGGAAUUCCACGUGUAGCGGUGAAAUGCGUAGAGAUGUGGAGGAACACCAGUGGCGAAGGCGACUCUCUGGUCUGUAACUGACGCUGAGGCGCGAAAGCGUGGGGAGCGAACAGGAUUAGAUACCCUAGUAGUCC